UACGGAGGAUGCGAGCGUUAUCCGGAUUUAUUGGGUUUAAAGGGUGCGUAGGCGGAUCGUUAAGUCAGUGGUUAAAUUGAGGGGCUCAACCCCUUCCCGCCAUUGAAACUGGCGAUCUUGAGUGGAAGAGAAGUAUGCGGAAUGCGUGGUGUAGCGGUGAAAUGCAUAGAUAUCACGCAGAACCCCGAUUGCGAAGGCAGCAUGCCGGCUUCCGACUGACGCUGAAGCACGAAAGCGUGGGGAUCGAACAGG
This 252-nucleotide ribosomal RNA is filed under the name uncultured bacterium. Its description in RNAcentral is "partial 16S ribosomal RNA". It matches the Rfam family "Bacterial small subunit ribosomal RNA", at positions 524 to 776 of the family's 1533-position model. The record is from RNAcentral.